RNAcentral lists this ribosomal RNA (492 nucleotides) under uncultured bacterium. RNAcentral's name for it is "partial 16S ribosomal RNA". It matches the Rfam family "Bacterial small subunit ribosomal RNA", at positions 29 to 507 of the family's 1533-position model. The record is from RNAcentral.
AGUGAACGCUGGCGGUAGGCCUAACACAUGCAAGUCGAACGGCAGCACAGUAAGAGCUUGCUCUUACGGGUGGCGAGUGGCGGACGGGUGAGGAAUACAUCGGAAUCUACUUUUUCGUGGGGGAUAACGUAGGGAAACUUACGCUAAUACCGCAUACGACCUACGGGUGAAAGCAGGGGAUCUUCGGACCUUGCGCGAUUGAAUGAGCCGAUGUCGGAUUAGCUAGUUGGCGGGGUAAAGGCCCACCAAGGCGACGAUCCGUAGCUGGUCUGAGAGGAUGAUCAGCCACACUGGAACUGAGACACGGUCCAGACUCCUACGGGAGGCAGCAGUGGGGAAUAUUGGACAAUGGGCGCAAGCCUGAUCCAGCCAUACCGCGUGGGUGAAGAAGGCCUUCGGGUUGUAAAGCCCUUUUGUUUGGAAAGAAAAGCAGCAGGUUAAUACCCCGCUGUUCUGACGGUACCAAAAGAAUAAGCACCGGCUAACUUCGUG